This is a non-coding RNA of Oncorhynchus mykiss (rainbow trout), 1187 nucleotides long. Lineage: Eukaryota; Metazoa; Chordata; Actinopteri; Salmoniformes; Salmonidae. The record is from RefSeq and is a predicted model, not a curated record.
UUUGCUCGGCGGGGACACAAAAUUGCUUAACGUGCAAAAUCGUUUCCUCGGGAAAUGGCAAAAGACUAUAAGAAAAAACUAGCUGUGAAAAAAUGUAUCUGGUUUAGACCAGCAUCCAUUUCUCGGCAUAGGACAAUGGAGCACAUUUUAACGCCAAAGGUGGAAGAAGUGAAAUUGUUAGAGUGAUACACUGCAAAGAAGCCAGCCACUGGCACUCUCUAUCUCACAGGAACCCAUCUCAUCUUUGUGGAGACAUCCUGUAACACUCGCAAGGAAACAUGGGUUUUACACCAUCUCAUAGCUACAGUAGAGAAACUCCCUCUUACAGCCACAGGAUGCCCGCUUCACAUUUCCUGCAAGAAUUUCCAUGUGGCUCACUUUGUCAUUCCCAGUGGGGGGACUGCCAGAAUGUGUAUCAGUCCCUGCUCAAACUCUCCCAACCAGACGAAGAUGAGAGAAGACAUGGUUGGGGCUUUGACUCAGCCAUGAAUUUCAAAAGAAUGGGAUUGCCCAACGAGUUUUGGGAAAUGACAGAAUUCAACAAGAACUAUGAGCUUUGCAGCACAUAUCACUCAGAACUGGGCAUUCCUAAAACUGCAAGCAAGGGCACAGUCUUGGGGAGUGCCAAAUUCAGGAGCAGAGGGUGCAUUCCUACUCUCUCCUACUUCCACAAGCGAAGAAAUGCUGCCAUUUGCCGUUGUAGCCAGCCCCUGUCUGGGUUAACUGUUUGAUGUGUAGAAGAUGAGGCGAUGCUACAGGCAAUCAGCUGGGCUAAUCCCAAAAGCACCUUCAUGUAUGGUGGAUACCAGACCUAAGUUUAAUGCCAUGGCCAAUAGAGCAGCAGGGAAGGAAUACGAGAAAGAGGACAGGAAAUAUUGGCAGGAAAGGAUCGCCUGCCAUGGAAGCAGGGGGAGAUGUCGCCGUUCCUCCUGCGCUGAUAUGAGGGGACACGGUUAGCACGGAAGCACGAGAGGCAGCCCGAAUAAAACAUUUUUUGGGGGGGGCACAUGUGGAGAUUGGCUGAGUCAGGUUGGAGACCUGAGCCAACUCUUCAUGCUUACCGCGGGGAGCAUGUGACUGGUCAGACACCGUGUUAUGCAGUGAUGCACACGGUGUCUCCAGUUCGCAUUCAUAGCCCGGUGCGCUCUAUUCCAACUCCUCGCAUUUGCCGGGCUAGAAUGGGCAUC